Molecule: non-coding RNA, 628 nt
Organism: Misgurnus anguillicaudatus (oriental weatherfish)
Lineage: Eukaryota; Metazoa; Chordata; Actinopteri; Cypriniformes; Cobitidae
Source: RefSeq, a predicted model, not a curated record
CUCAUGUAAUUGGUGCAGUACCAUUCCCGCCCACUAGAGGGCAGUUGACUUAAGUGUAUUGAGUGAACUGGCUGCGUUUAGUUCAGAUGAAGAAGCCAGCUGGACAUGCAUCCAUGAGGUUGGAAAUGCAUCCCAGAUCUGAUGAAAGAUUAGAUUUUUUCGGUUGAUUUAUCGUGUUUCUUUAUGAGAACUCUGAUUGGGUUUUAUGAGUGGAUUUUGAUUCUGCAUCGUGACCUACUUUUGAUUGGCGAGCCAGAGCCCUUUUUGAUCUACACACGUGGAGUGAACCCACGCCCCCUUGUGGAUUUACGGUAUAUAACAGCUAAGCUGUGAUCUCACACACUUUGUACACACUACCCGGGUAGAAAAAUUUACAAAAAAGGCCUUUACACACAUUCACAUUGAGAACUAUAUUUACACACAUGGAUAUCUGAGGACCGUAUAUACAUACAGGAUACAAGAGACUUUGGGACAUUUUAUUUUAUUUUUAUUUCCUCUUUAUUCUAUCUUGAGCUCAAUAUCAAGCACUUUCUCCCACCCUUAAUUGGGGUAUUAAGAGUAUCUGUUUAAAUUGUGGGAAUAGUUAUUUCCAAAGUUUUUUUCUGAAUUUUCAAUUAAAAUGCCGGCU